RNAcentral lists this long non-coding RNA (615 nucleotides) under Homo sapiens (human). RNAcentral's name for it is "HSALNT0121601". The record is from RNAcentral. Lineage: Eukaryota; Metazoa; Chordata; Mammalia; Primates; Hominidae.
AUAAAGGAGAAGCUUUUCAAGUCCAAGAAUGAAAUAGAGUUCUCAAACAUACAAAAACUGUUUGGCUUGCCUAUGAAUACAGUAAAGGUGCCAGAACACGCUUCCAGUUUAAGAGGAUCACUCUUAAUAAGAAUCUGAGACUGUUGUUCCCUCCUUCAUCAGCAGAAACACACAAUCAACAAGAAAUAUGAGAAGAAACAAUAUUGUUAGCACAUUGGAAGAUAAUGGCAGGAGGUCCAUGGGAGCCUGGGACCAGUCAUCAUGCCAAAGCUGAGGAAACAUGAGCAAGAAGGCAAGAAGACAAGCCUUGGGAACGAAGGAAGCCACGUGGUGCUGCAGCCAGAGGCUGCAGGGAUUUUCUCAGGGCCUCGUUGCUCACCCCAAGGCUUGUCCCAAGGCUCAGCAGGCUUGCUAAAAUAGCCUUAGGCAACAGUGGGGCCUGGGGAUGGGGAAAGGCCUCUUCCUCUUCAUUACCCCUCUCCAUCGCUCUUCCCACUCCCUGGAGCUCUUGCCUUCUCAAGUAUUCCCUGGUCAUCACCCCUGUGGUCUCUCCUUCCAAGAAAUCUUUAAGCCCUUCCAAGAAUCCAAGCCCCUGAUUCAUUCCACUCCAACCCC